This 1438-nucleotide long non-coding RNA is filed under the name Marmota monax (woodchuck). Lineage: Eukaryota; Metazoa; Chordata; Mammalia; Rodentia; Sciuridae. The record is from RNAcentral.
GGUCCCUAGUCAGAUAGUUAAUAAAAACCUUAGAAUCGCACUUGAAAGACACUACCUCCAUCCUGAGAAUCAUUGUCACUGCUUAGUCAAGUAAGUAUUUAACUAAAAAAAAAAAAAAAAAAUCAGGUGAAGACUCUUCUCUAAACACCAAACAUCUAGCCAAAGAAAGAGGCUAUAAAAUGAUCCAGCAAAAAGCAAAGCAAAGCACCAAGUCUAUUCUGUUGCUUAUUAAAAACGCAGACCUGAGGGGCUAGGGUUGUGGCUCAGUGGCAAAGUGCUUGCCUGGCAUGUGUGAGGCCCUGGGUUUGAUCCUCAGCACCACAUACAAAAAUAAACAAAUAAAAUGACAUAAUGCUGUCCAUCUACAACUACAAAAAAAUUUUUUUAAAAAUUUAAAAAGCAGAGCUGAGAGCCAACAGUUGAGGGCAAACAGGGGAACCACGUCAAUCAGACAUGGGAAGCCCUGGAGAAUCCCCAUAGACUGCCACUGCCCUACGAGGACUGGAGAGAACCUGGGCAAGAGCAGGCGCACCUGAGGACAUCUUGGCCAGGGUUUGGUGCACCCUGCAGGCUGGAGCGUGCAGGCCACGUAGACCGGAACGCCUGUGUCCACUGCUAACCUGCGUGAAUAGAACACUUGAACACAGUAAGGACAACAGAUCAGAAAACCCUUGAGAAGAGAGAGAGGUACGCGAUUGCCUGGCAUGCGUGCGGCCCGGGUUCGAUCCUCAGCACCACAUGCAAAACAAAGAUGUUGUGUCCGCCGAGAACUAAAAAAAAAAUAAAUAUUAAAAAAAAAAGAGAGAGAGGUAGCACCGUGCCAUUGGGACCACCCCAGAUAUCGAAGGAUGAGAAUACAGAAAAUAAGGGAUAUGACUAAUCCAUAAACCUAGAGCCAAGACGUUUCUGCUCCCACCCCAGCCCAAUCCUACUCACAGACACCCAUGUAGAGCCAGAUCUUUACAUCUAAUGGGUCACCGGAGAAAGAUCAAACACUCAUGGGAUCCCAGGAAUGAGCUAAUAAGAACUGAACCAGCACCUUCAAACUACGAUGCGGAUAACGAUAGUGGCCUGUGCCUAAUUUGUGACGUCAUUAAGAACAGGUCGAUUGCUCAGAACUGUGCUAGCUCUUAAAUUGCUGUCUUAGCUCAUCUAUGACCCAUCUCUCUCGAUCUGGAACAGAUGAAAGGGUCCCAUCCCUGCCCUUCAAUCUGCUCCAUGCUCACGAUCUACUGCAGGACUGCAGAAGUGCUGCUGUUGAACUUGAACUCACUGUAAAAACGUUGUGACCCAGAGUUCUGGUACCUGUGUUCCUGCUGUCUCCAGCCCUCUGCCAAGCCUCUCUCGGCACACUGGUCGCUGGAGCUGGAACGUGCUGGACCCCCCUCCCAGGAGAGGAGAGGACAGAGAUUCGCCCAAGGAGGAACACGGUGCUGAC